Long non-coding RNA from Ananas comosus (pineapple), 1227 nucleotides. RefSeq lists it as uncharacterized. The transcript has 7 exons. The record is from RefSeq and is a predicted model, not a curated record. Lineage: Eukaryota; Viridiplantae; Streptophyta; Magnoliopsida; Poales; Bromeliaceae.
CAAUUGCCGAAGUUACCUUAAUGCUGAAAUUUUGGGUCAAUUUGGUCAAAAAUAGUCAAUUUGAUGCAAAAUUUGAAAUGAACUGCUUCCAAAUUAAUUUGAUAGCUUGUUAAGGUUUAUUAGUGUUAUUUGGAAGUGAUUAGAUGUGUUCGAAGCAAACAAGACGCGAAAUAGGGCUUCAAGUUACUGCUACCAAGCUAUUGGUUAGUGCAGGGACUAAACCGCGAACCUGCAGGGACUAAACUGUGAACCUGCAGGGACUGAACUGCGAAUUUCUGGACUGCACUGCAGUUUCAGCAGUUUGAAGGGCUAAGGUGUAGUUUUUUGAGCUUAUCACUUAGCCCCAAGUUGCCUACACCUGCCUACGUAUCAGGGAUUUUUUUCCCACAGCUCCUUUCUCAUCCUUUUCAUCUUUCUUUUCUUUCUCAACCCUAAGAGCAAGCUAGGGAAGAAAAGCUUGGUGGAGUAGGAUUUCUUGUUGUUGGAGCAAAGAAGCAACCUUGUGGAGCUGAGAAGAAAUUUGAAGCUGUGAGCAAGUUAAAUUCAGCAAAGGGCAAUUUGGAAGAGCACUUAAUUAAGGAAUUUAAGUAGAAGUUUAUGUGUUGUGAGCUGAAAAGAAAGUUUUGGAAGCUGAGUAUCAGCUGUGGAACCUUGAAAUUAAGGAAAUUGCAAUUUGGUGAACUGGGCAGCAGAAUUGGAGGAAGUUCCUGCUGUUGGAGUAGCCGAACAGGAGGCUUGGGCUAUUCGAAUUGAGAGAAAGAGAGAGAUUUGGUGAGAUAUCUAAGUCAAGUGGCUAAUUUGGAGCUUCGAGUUGAGUGGUGCUGCCGAAUUAGAGUUGCAGCUGAAGGAUAGUGUCCCUGUUGUUGGAGCUAUCUAGUAGAAGAAUUGGGCCUCUUGAAUUGAGAGUGAUCUAGAGAAUUAUCAAAUAAAGUGGACAGAUUAAGCUGUGUGCGGGCUGUUGGGAUUGCCAAAGCGAAGACCCAAUUGUGAAGCUGCUGCGGCUUCAGGAAUUUCUGGGUACCCAGAUUUAAAGAGGGAGUGAAGGUUGAGAGCUUGCUAGUUAAUUGAGCAGGAGGAGCUCAAAAUUGAGGUCGGCGACGCACUAAUUACGGUAAAAGCCGUUUAGGAUUUAUUUGCGUUGGGUCGCGUGAGAUCAUCAUUGACACAGUUCGAGACGUGGAUUCCAGUUAGUUGGCAUCCCUACAGGUCCUAGCACGAGCGGGGCGG